Long non-coding RNA from Corvus hawaiiensis (hawaiian crow), 476 nucleotides. RefSeq lists it as uncharacterized. NCBI's taxonomy places the organism in Eukaryota, Metazoa, Chordata, Aves, Passeriformes, Corvidae. The transcript is spliced from 3 exons. The record is from RefSeq and is a predicted model, not a curated record.
UUUUUUUUUUUUUUUUUUUUGUUGGCAGCCAAGGACAGUAUUUCAUUUACUGACACUGCUUUUUUCUUUCUCUUUGCAGUCAGAUACAGGUACUGCUUGGAUACAUGUGAUGAAUGAAAGAGCGAUUGCCACAGUUCCACAUCAACAACAAUGUACUUCCCGUUUUAGGCACAGUUAUGCUGUGGCAUCUAGAUAAAAAGAGGAUAUCGUCUGAAGGGUCAUGACCUGCACAUCAUCCUAGGCUGGACACAGGACUUUGGAGCUCCAAAAUGCAGGCAGAGUUCUUCAGGAAGCUGGAAUACUUGGCUGAGUUCUUGCUUUUGUCCUGCCUGGGACCUACACCACCAGGAGGAGCUGCUGAAGAGCAUCGUCGAGGCACCAGUGGGACCCAUGGAGCGGUGAUAUUCUUUUUAUUCUGUCUCUGUCACUCUUUGUCUCCCCAACUAUUUUCCAUUUUCUUCUUUCUCCUUUUCUCU